Molecule: ribosomal RNA, 429 nt
Filed under: bacterium
Lineage: Bacteria
Description: partial 16S ribosomal RNA
Rfam family: Bacterial small subunit ribosomal RNA
Source: RNAcentral
UAGGGAAUCUUCGGCAAUGGGGGCAACCCUGACCGAGCAACGCCGCGUGAGGGAAGAAGGUUUUCGGAUCGGAAAGCUCUGUUGUAAGAGAAGAACGUGUGUGAGAGUGGAAAGUUCACACAGUGACGGUAACUUACCAGAAAGGGACGGCGAACUACGUGCCAGCAGCCGCGGUAAGACGUAGGUCCCGAGCGGUGUCCGGAUUUAGUGGGAGUAAAGCGAGCGCAGGCGGUUUAAUAAGUCUGAAGUUAAAGGCAGUGGCUUAACCAUUGUUCGCUUUGGAAACUGUUAAACUUGAGUGCAGAAGGGGAGAGUGGAAUUCCAUGUGUAGCGGUGAAAUGCGUAGAUAUAUGGAGGAACACCGGUGGCGAAAGCGGCUCUCUGGUCUGUAACUGACGCUGAGGCUCGAAAGCGUGGGGAGCAAACAGG